RNAcentral lists this non-coding RNA (29 nucleotides) under Mus musculus (house mouse). The record is from RNAcentral. Lineage: Eukaryota; Metazoa; Chordata; Mammalia; Rodentia; Muridae.
UGAGUCUUUCUGGUAUCCAAAAUGGGUUU